Molecule: long non-coding RNA, 982 nt
Organism: Mugil cephalus (flathead mullet)
Lineage: Eukaryota; Metazoa; Chordata; Actinopteri; Mugiliformes; Mugilidae
Exons: 3
Source: RefSeq, a predicted model, not a curated record
UUGAGCUGAAGGCCGCCCCCUCUCGCUGGGUGCAACAGGAUCGGGUGUGUCUCCCAGCCAGGAGGCAGCUGAUUAAGUGCACCAGGUGGAGACAAUCUGGAAAUCAGGAUGGUUUGGAGGCGCUCACUCACAGGGCAUUGAUGAGCGAGGAGUGUGUGAAGGAACUGGUGCUUGGGAAAAGGAGAUUGCAGGAUUAAAACUCGCAAAGAUAGAAGAAGGAGCUGGUUUUUCACCUGAAUUUGCUUUGGACAAUUUUCAAAAAUGAAAGGAAGAAAAGAAAGAAGUCUGAAUCUUGGUCAUUGAGUGAAUUCCAGUCUAAUCUUCUGAGCAAGUUGCCUUUUCAAGUGGGGGAGCUGCAGUUUAAACUUCACAUCACAAGUGAAUGCCACUUGACAGCACACGGGUCAACCUUUCCAUCCACCUCUCGAGGUAAACACAGUUUGUUCUGCAGAAAAGCAGCCACGAGGAGAGUCACAAUGACCCUAACAGAACCUGGGCGCUCAGACUCCCCAGUCAGCCUGCGCCCCAUCGAGACACCGGGCGUCGUAACAAAGAGCAGCUGCUAAAAGUUAUCUUUGAGGGCAGGUUCAAGCCGGCCGCUCCAGGGUGCAUCACCGUGUCCUGCUAAGCACACAGCAUCUGAUGGGCUUCUUCCCUCAGGUCAACGCCAGAACUAUCCGUGGCAAAAGGGUUUUUAUUUCUAUUUAACUUCAUAGAGUCAAGGUAAGAGCAGAGGAUAAAAACUAAAUAGUUGGUGCAAACUUUUUCGCUAAGCGGAAAAGUUGCCGCAAAUGUCUCAGAGAAGUUGUCCCCGCUCGUCUGCGGUUUAAACGUCUUCGGCCUCUUCCUUUAAUUACAAACUGACUCCAUGACGUAGGGGUGAGAGAUUUCUGAAGACCACGUGCAGUAGAGCUCUGUUGUUCCUCAUGACAAUAUUAAAACUGGCUCAUUUUACUCCAUACAAAUUGUAAAGCAUUGUAGA